UACCAGCACCCCGAGUGGUCGGGACGAUUAUUGGGCCUAAAGCAUCCGUAGCCGGCCUUACAAGUCCUCCGUUAAAUCCAGCUGCUUAACAGAUGGGCUGCGGAGGAUACUAUAAGACUAGGAGGCAGGAGAGGCAAGCGGUACUCAGUGGGUAGGGGUAAAAUCCGUUGAUCCAUUGAAGACCACCAGUGGCGAAGGCGGAUCUCUGGACAGUUCCUGACACUGAGGCACGAAGGCCAGGGGAGCAAACGGG
RNAcentral lists this ribosomal RNA (253 nucleotides) under uncultured bacterium. RNAcentral's name for it is "partial 16S ribosomal RNA". It matches the Rfam family "Archaeal small subunit ribosomal RNA", at positions 474 to 727 of the family's 1478-position model. The record is from RNAcentral.